UGGGGUAAAGAACUGACUUCUGCCUUCUC
Molecule: non-coding RNA, 29 nt
Filed under: Rattus norvegicus (Norway rat)
Lineage: Eukaryota; Metazoa; Chordata; Mammalia; Rodentia; Muridae
Source: RNAcentral